CCCUUAGAUGUUCUGGGCCGCACACGCGCUACACUGAAGGAGGCAGCGUGUACUCCUGGAUCGAAAGAUUUGGGUAACCCGCGAAUCUCCUUCGUGCUAGGGAUUGAGGUUUGCAAUUAUCCUUCAUGAACGAGGAAUUCCCAGUAAGUGCAAGUCAUAAGCUUGCGCUGACUACGUCCCUGCCCUUUGUACACACCGCCCGUCGCUACUACCGAUUGAAUGGUCCGGUGAAAUCUCGGGACGGCGGCUUGGUCGCUUGCGUCCGACUGCUGAAACUUGAUUAAACCAUAUCAUUUAGAGGAAGGUGAAGUCGUANCA
RNAcentral lists this ribosomal RNA (318 nucleotides) under uncultured eukaryote. RNAcentral describes it as "partial 18S ribosomal RNA". It matches the Rfam family "Eukaryotic small subunit ribosomal RNA", at positions 1470 to 1796 of the family's 1831-position model. The record is from RNAcentral.